AGUAAUACAUAAGUAACCUGCCCUAGACAGGGGGAUAACUAUUGGAAACGAUGGCUAAGACCGCAUAGGUACGGACACUGCAUGGUGACCGUAUUAAAAGUGCCUCAAAGCACUGGUAGAGGAUGGACUUAUGGCGCAUUAGCUGGUUGGCGGGGUAACGGCCCACCAAGGCGACGAUGCGUAGCCGACCUGAGAGGGUGACCGGCCACACUGGGACUGAGACACGGCCCAG
Molecule: ribosomal RNA, 232 nt
Filed under: uncultured bacterium
Lineage: Bacteria
Description: partial 16S ribosomal RNA
Rfam family: Bacterial small subunit ribosomal RNA
Source: RNAcentral